CUUGAUCGAGCCCAGCCACAGCGGCUCUUCGCGCUCUUGGCCGUAGGUGGCCAGCAGCGCCUGUGCCUC
Streptomyces yokosukanensis is the source of this 69-nucleotide non-coding RNA. It matches the Rfam family "ASpks TB sRNA". The record is from Rfam. Lineage: Bacteria; Bacillati; Actinomycetota; Actinomycetes; Kitasatosporales; Streptomycetaceae.